Molecule: small RNA, 26 nt
Filed under: Arabidopsis thaliana (thale cress)
Lineage: Eukaryota; Viridiplantae; Streptophyta; Magnoliopsida; Brassicales; Brassicaceae
Description: ATSL134280
Source: RNAcentral
AGAAGAAAAACAAAAAAUAUAUUUUG